CUGUAUCUGUGCUGCACAGCUGGGCUAAUUAUGCAAUAUGGCACCUUCUUCGGUACAGGGACUCUAACAGGAAAGAUACAAAUGGCAAAUACAUUGAACUACUGAGGUUUCACCAUGAGUCCAGGGCACCCCAAGAUCUCUUCUACCAGCUGCGGGUUGUUCCUGGACAGCUGUUCCUUGGUAACUAUUCCAAUUUGAGACAAUCCUUACCUCUGUAUCGUGUAACUCCUUCCAUGGUUUGAAGAUUAAGGUCAAGGCAUGACUUACGACUCAGGAGUGAGAAUACUUGGUUAUGAGAGAAACGGCAGAGCGAGCACGAGAUGUGUCCCACAGCAGAAGUGAGUGAGCACAGGCCGAGUCCAGCAAAUGGGUAAUUCCUGGAGUGAUGACUUUGCAAGCUCUGGACGAAGGCAGCGUGACUUAGUGCACUAGGGCCUGCGGACACAGGCUGGAACUUAAGUACUUAAUGCUCACUUAUUAUCAUUCUGACUUUUUCACUGUUUCAUGCUCACCUAUAUUCUUUCAUACUC
This is a long non-coding RNA of Stegostoma tigrinum, 530 nucleotides long. RefSeq lists it as uncharacterized. The record is from RefSeq and is a predicted model, not a curated record. The transcript is spliced from 3 exons. Lineage: Eukaryota; Metazoa; Chordata; Chondrichthyes; Orectolobiformes; Stegostomatidae.